This is a ribosomal RNA of 524 nucleotides. The stretch from base 398 to 524 matches the Rfam family "Archaeal large subunit ribosomal RNA", at positions 2542 to 2668 of the family's 2987-position model.
CAAAAACAUGUNUUUUUGAAAAUAAUAAAAAGUCUAAUCUGCCCACUGAAUUUAUUUAAAGGGCUGCAGUAUACUGACUGUACAAAGGUAGCAUAAUCAAUUAGUCUUUUAAUUGAAGACUUGUAUGAAUGAUUUGAUGAAAUAUGAACUGUCUCUUUUUUAAAAAUAAAAUUUAAUUUUUUAGUUAAAAAGCUAAAAUAAUUAUAAAAGACGAGAAGACCCUAUAGAGUUUUAUAGUUACUUAAUUUAAAAAUUUUAUAUAUAAUUUAAAUUUAAAAUUAAUUAAUUAUUUUAUUGGGGUGAUAGAAAAAUUAAAAAAACUUUUUUUUAAAAAUUUAACAUUAAUUUAUGAAAUUAUGAUCCAUAAUUUAUGAUUAAAAGAAUCAAUUACCUUAGGGAUAACAGCGUAAUUUUUUUUUUUAGUACAAAUAAGAAAAAGAGUUUGCGACCUCGAUGUUGGAUUAAGAUAAAAUUUAAAUGCAAAAGUUUAAAAUUUUUGAUCUGUUCGAUCAUUAAAAUCUUAC